This is a long non-coding RNA of Mytilus californianus (California mussel), 636 nucleotides long. RefSeq lists it as uncharacterized. Lineage: Eukaryota; Metazoa; Mollusca; Bivalvia; Mytilida; Mytilidae. The record is from RefSeq and is a predicted model, not a curated record. The transcript has 3 exons.
UUGUGUAUAAAACAAAACGCAUUCGAUCAUAUCGCUACCUAUUUCCGACUUUUAUUACGGCUUGGCUGUUUUACACUUUUUUGUAGAAGGAUGUUUGAUUUAUGAAAAUAAGAAGAUGAAAAUAUUAGAGAUAAUUAUAAACCAUUAUGGAUCAUGGUGCUGAUGGGGGACGUUAAAUUUCAUCAAUUAACCAACAGUCGUCUGGUGGGAGAACGACGUUAUAAACUAUAGCAACAUACUUCUACGUUUCACAAGUGUCUGUUAACAUCAUCAAAGACUUGCUUGGCUUGUUUCUGUUUUACGACUUGAUAUGGACCUGCGAAUUUUAUCAUUUUGGACUUGCGAUAACCGGAUUUAUCAUUUUGGAUUUGCGAUAACCGGAUUUAUCAUUUUGGACUUGCGAUAACUGGAUUUAUCAUUUUGGACUUGCAAUACUCAGAUUUAUCAUUUUGGACUUGCGAUAAUCAGAUUUAUCAUUUUGGACUUGCGAUAACCAGAUUGAUCAUUGUGGAUUUGCGAUAUCUAGUUUUAUCAUUUUGGACAUCUUUGGACUCAUCUUUGUUUAGAAUAAAUGACAACGAAAAGUGUUAAAGAAUAAAAAAAUGAUUACAUUAAACAAAUAAAAGUUAAAUAUUU